Molecule: ribosomal RNA, 330 nt
Filed under: uncultured bacterium
Lineage: Bacteria
Description: bacterial SSU rRNA
Rfam family: Bacterial small subunit ribosomal RNA
Source: RNAcentral
UGUGUAGGCGGUGCUCUAAGUCUGGUGUGAAAUCUCCCGGCUCAACUGGGAGGGUGCGCCGGAAACUGGAAUGCUCGAGUGUGGGAGAGGUAAGCGGAAUUCCUGGUGUAGCGGUGAAAUGCGUAGAUAUCAGGAGGAACACCUGUGGUGUAGACAGCUUACUGGACCACGACUGACGCUGAGACACGAAAGCGUGGGUAGCAAACAGGAUUAGAUACCCUGGUAGUCCACGCCCUAAACGAUGCAUACUUGGUGUGAGCGAUUCAUUUCGUUCGUGCCGGAGCUAACGCGUUAAGUAUGCCGCCUGGGGAGUACGGUCGCAAGGCUGAA